This 73-nucleotide transfer RNA is filed under the name Kumanoa mahlacensis. RNAcentral describes it as "tRNA-Glu". It matches the Rfam family "tRNA". Rfam says of the family: Transfer RNA (tRNA) molecules are approximately 80 nucleotides in length. Their secondary structure includes four short double-helical elements and three loops (D, anti-codon, and T loops). Further hydrogen bonds mediate the characteristic L-shaped molecular structure. tRNAs have two regions of fundamental functional importance: the anti-codon, which is responsible for specific mRNA codon recognition, and the 3' end, to which the tRNAs corresponding amino acid is attached (by aminoacyl-tRNA synthetases). tRNAs cope with the degeneracy of the genetic code in two manners: having more than one tRNA (with a specific anti-codon) for a particular amino acid; and 'wobble' base-pairing, i.e. permitting non-standard base-pairing at the 3rd anti-codon position. Lineage: Eukaryota; Rhodophyta; Florideophyceae; Batrachospermales; Batrachospermaceae. The record is from RNAcentral.
GCUCCUAUAGUUUAAUUGGUUAAGACAGUAUUUUUUCGUGAUAUUAAUGCGGGUUCGAGUCCCGCUAGGAGUA